RNAcentral lists this ribosomal RNA (460 nucleotides) under uncultured bacterium. RNAcentral's name for it is "partial 16S ribosomal RNA". It matches the Rfam family "Bacterial small subunit ribosomal RNA", at positions 338 to 795 of the family's 1533-position model. The record is from RNAcentral.
CCUACGGGAGGCAGCAGUGAGGAAUAUUGGUCAAUGGACGAGAGUCUGAACCAGCCAAGUAGCGUGAAGGAUGACUGCCCUAUGGGUUGUAAACUUCUUUUAUAUGGGAAUAAAAUGUUCCACGUGUGGGAUUUUGUAUGUACCAUAUGAAUAAGGAUCGCCGAAAUCCGUGCCAGCAGCCGCGGUAAUACGGAGGAUCCGAGCGUUAUCCGGAUUUAUUGGGUUUAAAGGGAGCGUAGGUGGAUUGUUAAGUCAGUUGUGAAAGUUUGCGGCUCAACCGUAAAAUUGCAGUUGAAACUGGCAGGCUUGAGUACAGUAGAGGUGGGCAGAAGUCGUGGUGUAGCGGUGAAAUGCUUAGAUAUCACGAAGAACUCCGAUUGCGAAGGCAGCUCACUGGACUGCAACUGACACUGAGGCUCGAAAGUGUGGGUAUCAAACAGGAUUAGAUACCCCAGUAGUC